RNAcentral lists this ribosomal RNA (497 nucleotides) under uncultured bacterium. RNAcentral describes it as "partial 16S ribosomal RNA". It matches the Rfam family "Bacterial small subunit ribosomal RNA", at positions 28 to 507 of the family's 1533-position model. The record is from RNAcentral.
GAUGAACGCUGGCGGCGUGCCUAAUACAUGCAAGUCGAGCGAACAGACGAGGAGCUUGCUCCUCUGACGUUAGCGGCGGACGGGUGAGUAACACGUGGAUAACCUACCUAUAAGACUGGGAUAACUUCGGGAAACCGGAGCUAAUACCGGAUAACAUGUUGAACCGCAUGGUUCAACAGUGAAAGACGGUCUUGCUGUCACUUAUAGAUGGAUCCGCGCCGCAUUAGCUAGUUGGUAAGGUAACGGCUUACCAAGGCAACGAUGCGUAGCCGACCUGAGAGGGUGAUCGGCCACACUGGAACGGAGACACGGUCCAGACUCCUACGGGAGGCAGCAGUAGGGAAUCUUCCGCAAUGGGCGAAAGCCUGACGGAGCAACGCCGCGUGAGUGAUGAAGGUCUUCGGAUCGUAAAACUCUGUUAUUAGGGAAGAACAAAUGUGUAAGUAACUAUGCACGUCUUGACGGUACCUAAUCAGAAAGCCACGGCUAACUACGUG